AGGAGGUCACCGACAGCGAUUUCGAGGCAGGUUUUGCGCCGGUUUUCACGUUGUCGAGGCACGACGACUGAAGCUAGGGCAGCACAUCUGUUUCGCAAGAAUGUGUUCUUCAGUUAAUGGUUUAUGCACACAAGCGGUUCAUUAAUACACACAAUACCGAUGCCACGCAGACUUGCGGACAAUGAUCGGCAGCUCGCGAGGUCACAUCUGCAGCAACGUAGACAAGCAACCUCCUCCCCUUCUGCCUCGAACGGGUCAUGUCCAACGAACCCAUACAAGCAAAUGCGGCUCCAGCAAACUAGAACGCAGUCACAAAAUUCUUAGACACGCACACACCAAAAUCCGAACCAACGCGACAGAAAAAGGACAUCGGCCCUAGUCCACAAGAGACCAGAGUUGCAGGAAUGUCGCCAGGAGAGGGCGGCGAAAGAGCCGCCGACACCCGCUGUAUGCCUCGACAAGGAAGUCCACUUCCAUCGGCGUAUCUGUCCACCGCCUCCAGGCAGGAGAGUCCGCCACGUUCCCCAAUCCACGACGCCAUACAAAGGAUACCGCGGCACGGAGGCAAAUCCCUUCCAAGACGACUGUGCACACAUGCACACACGUCCCAUGUACAAGUCCUGAAAGUGCCAGAUGCCGCGUCGCCAGAACAAGGUGCAUAGGCGACCCCAAGGUCUGUCUGGUCCGGAUCCCAUUCCGGCAUAUUCUAUAGCUUCUGCUCCUCUCUCAACCUUGCCGUUAUCAUCGUCGCUGACCGCUGCUACCUGUCCUAUCCCUUCCCCCACACAUACUAUUCCGCAGUCCCUUCUUUUAGCUCAACUCCGAGGCGAAGCGCAAGAGGACAGUAAUAAGCAAUAGUAGUGGUAUUGCUCCAGUCCCCAGCACUAAAAGCAGUGGACCUCUCCUCCCAGCCCCUUCAGCAGCCCUUCAUUCUAAUCAACAUCGCAUCAUCAGGAUGGUUAGCGGACAUCAGCAA
Molecule: long non-coding RNA, 976 nt
Filed under: Volvox carteri
Lineage: Eukaryota; Viridiplantae; Chlorophyta; Chlorophyceae; Chlamydomonadales; Volvocaceae
Description: long non-coding RNA (VCAR_LNC000915)
Source: RNAcentral